GUGAGGAAUCUUCCACAAUGGGCGCAAGCCUGAUGGAGCGACACCGCGUGAAGGAUGAAGCCUUUAUUGGUGUAAACUUCUUUUCUGUGGGAAGAUAAUGACGGUACCACAGGAAUAAGGGGCGGCAAACUAUGUGCCAGCAGCCGCGGUAAUACAUAGGCCCCAAGCGUUAUCCGGAAUUACUGGGCGUAAAGAGUUCGUAGGCGGAGAAACAAGUCAGAUGUUAAAUGUAUGGGCUCAACCCAUUACUUGCAUCCGAAACUGUUUCCCUAGAAUUAGGGAGAGGUAAGCAGAACUGUAUGAGUAGGGGUGCAAUCCGUUGAUACAUACAAGAAUACCAAAAGCGAAGGCAGCUUACUGGAACUAUAUUGACGCUGAGGAACGAAAGCGUGGGGAGCGAAAAGGAUUAGAUACCCUGGUAGUCC
RNAcentral lists this ribosomal RNA (425 nucleotides) under uncultured bacterium. RNAcentral's name for it is "bacterial SSU rRNA". It matches the Rfam family "Bacterial small subunit ribosomal RNA", at positions 354 to 796 of the family's 1533-position model. The record is from RNAcentral.